This is a non-coding RNA of Myodes glareolus (Bank vole), 251 nucleotides long. The record is from RefSeq and is a predicted model, not a curated record. Lineage: Eukaryota; Metazoa; Chordata; Mammalia; Rodentia; Cricetidae.
GUCAUCUCCUUAAGAAAACUGGAACCUUAGUUGGAUCCUUAGACUUCUGUUUGAGGGAAAAACAUGCCUACGUCUCUAUUCCUGAAAUACAAGAUGAAGCAAGUUUACCUCCAGCUUCUAGACUCAAGUAAUCCUCCCAUCUUAGCCUACCACAUAGCUGGAGUGGAAGAAUAAAUUAUUAACAACUAUAUGCUAUAGAGCAUUCUCAACAAGAGACUUCUUCAGGACUUGCUGCAAAUGUCAGUGCUGUU